Hypoxylon sp. CO27-5 is the source of this 91-nucleotide non-coding RNA. The record is from the annotation of a GenBank genome assembly. NCBI's taxonomy places the organism in Eukaryota, Fungi, Ascomycota, Sordariomycetes, Xylariales, Hypoxylaceae.
GCCCACUUGGCGCAAUGGUCAAGCGCUUGGAGGGCUCCCUUUGGUCUCGAAAUCAAAGGGAAGCCGGUUGGUUCGAAUCCAGCAGUGAGCA